GACGGAGGGUGCAAGCGUUGUUCGGAAUUACUGGGCGUAAAGGGCGCGUAGGCGGUCUGUUAAGUUCGGUGUGAAAGCCCUCGGCUUACCCGGGGAACUGCGCCGGAAACCGACAGACUCGAGUACCGGAGAGGAGGGUGGAAUUCCUGGUGUAGCGGUGAAAUGCGUAGAUAUCAGGAGGAACACCGGUAGCGAAGGCGGCCCUCUGGACGGAUACUGACGCUGAGGCGCGAAAGCGUGGGGAUCAAACAGG
Molecule: ribosomal RNA, 253 nt
Filed under: uncultured bacterium
Lineage: Bacteria
Description: partial 16S ribosomal RNA
Rfam family: Bacterial small subunit ribosomal RNA
Source: RNAcentral